RNAcentral lists this long non-coding RNA (329 nucleotides) under Hordeum vulgare. RNAcentral's name for it is "long non-coding RNA (HVUL_LNC009960)". Lineage: Eukaryota; Viridiplantae; Streptophyta; Magnoliopsida; Poales; Poaceae. The record is from RNAcentral.
UGUUAAACAGGUGGUAGCCAGCGAGACAUAACGAAAGAAACGAGACAACUAGCAAGGCAAUGAUAGUAAUGGUAUCUAGGAAAAUGGUCAUCUUGCCUGUGAUCCCGCUUGAAAAAAGAAUGACUCCAUGAAGCAAACGAACCACGUAGUCAAACAGAUCCUCACACUCCGAAGCGGUUCAGAACUCUGUCGAGAAGAAGCAACUCGGAAACAAGAAUUAACACACGGUAUUCACCACGGCACAUGGACGACAUGAUGAACAACACAUAUGAUACAUGAUCGAUUUAAUUAUGCAAGGCAUGGCAUGGCAAUUCACAACAAUCAAACAC